Molecule: long non-coding RNA, 981 nt
Organism: Mustela erminea (ermine)
Lineage: Eukaryota; Metazoa; Chordata; Mammalia; Carnivora; Mustelidae
Exons: 3
Source: RefSeq, a predicted model, not a curated record
GCUGCUGCGUGUCCUUUGUCGCGCUUCCGAGCAGAUCGCGGGAGCUGCUUACCAAUGAACUCCAAAGCUGGCUUUAUAAAAGCCCUCCGGCUUUACCUCUGUAAGGUCGUGGAGUAUCUACCUUAAUUAGCCUACGCUCUGGCAGGGCCUUUCCCAGGGCCCACAGCACCGAGCCACGAAGUCGCGGGUCAGGGGUGGAACGAGAUCCGUGGCCCUGGGACUCAUAAGGUCACACCAGCAUCUAACCUGAACUCCCCCCACGCGUGCCCUAGACAUCGUGUUCUCACCAGGUGAACCGCGUAACCUAACGGGUGGAUGUGUUGGCUGUGGGACUGGCCCAGUGUGAGCCCACAGAGGUCUGCAUGCUUGCAGCCACUCGAAGGAACACCGUCCUUAGGAAACACAGCCACAGGUGCAUCUCAACCUGGGGCGCUCCGUGAUUAAGCACGCGCUCCCCAGGAGGCCGAGAAGAGAACGUCAUCUCCCUGCAUGGACCUGCUUACUUUGAAACUACCUGGUUGCAGUUCAGCUGUGCAUCAGUUCCGCAUCUUCUCCCUGGGCCCAGAUACAACAGCAUAUACUGGAGUAUCUUGAAGACUUUAAGCUGAAGGAAUCUGAGAAGUGGGGAGGUCUCUGUGACUUUCUCCUGCCUUCUUCCUCUGAAGCAGGUCAUAAAAACCCUCUUGUGAGAGAUGCUGUCCCUACACCCAGAGGAAAGGAACAUCCUUAUCUUCAAGAUGGAGGGACACUAAGAAAAAUCCGGACAAACAGGCCUUGCUAAGUUCCCCCCGACUUGCUACACUUACCUUCUCUUACCGUAUUUCUCCACAACGGCCCACUCAUCAUCACACCCGGCAUAAAAAACUCUCAGCUUGAACAGUUUCUUCAGGUUCUCAGUCCCUUAUGAAGGCCCCCAUGUCACAUCAAACUUAUGUUAAAUAAAGUUGUAUGUGACACAGGCAGCAACCUCUUUGACCUCAG